Triticum aestivum (bread wheat) is the source of this 473-nucleotide long non-coding RNA. RefSeq lists it as uncharacterized. The transcript is spliced from 2 exons. NCBI's taxonomy places the organism in Eukaryota, Viridiplantae, Streptophyta, Magnoliopsida, Poales, Poaceae. The record is from RefSeq and is a predicted model, not a curated record.
GGUACAGAACCCUCGAGGGGGGCCUCGCGGAUUUGGGAGGAACGACACCACGCCGCCGCCGCCUGCUCACCACGCCGCCGCUCGAUUCCUCCACAACACGCCGUCGAACGACAUCUCUACGCCGGCGUACCUCCUCCGCCAUACUGGCCUUCUCCUCGGUGAUUCUUGAGGUUCCAAGUCUGUCGGAGGAAGGCUCGUCCGUCGUCAAGAGGAACUCGCUGUCAAUUCAUCUGUAGGACAACAUCAUUCUCACCCUUGCUUGGUCUGUAAAACAUAAUUGAUUGUGAGCUAUGAGAGAUUAUGUUGCUGUGAUGUGAUUGAUAUUGCUGUGAUGAGAUACUGAUUCCAAGUCAAGAUGUGAAGAACUGCUGUCACAUUUUUAUUAGGUGUCAUUCACAAUUUUAUAGCAAGUUUGUCUACCAUUUAACCUGUAAAGAUUGGAUUUUUAAUUGUUUUAUACCAUUUUAACUCAA